This is a non-coding RNA of Taeniopygia guttata (zebra finch), 1451 nucleotides long. NCBI's taxonomy places the organism in Eukaryota, Metazoa, Chordata, Aves, Passeriformes, Estrildidae. The record is from RefSeq and is a predicted model, not a curated record.
CUCUGCAGCCUGGAGAAUCCCUCAGGAUGCAGCAGAGCACUGGGAAACACCACAAGCACUGCCCAUCUCCUCCCCUCCUGCCUGGCACUGCCAGAGGACAGUGUGCUUCUUCCUCUCAGGAAAGGGCACCAGGUGCAGGAUUAAGGCCAGAUGAAGGCAAGCAGAACCUGGGCAGAACACUGGCACCUGCAGAAAAUGCUCUCUCAGAGCACUGAGAUGACCAAAAAGUAACUAGACAAAGAUCAGUACUGAAAGGAGGUGGUUCAGGUAAUUUCAUUCCACACUGCUUCCUCCCCACUAGUUCCUACUUUUGCUCCACCAAACCUGGGGUAGGACAGAGCACAUGAGCCAGCUCUGCCUCUGGGUAAAAGCCCAUUUCCAAGGACAGAGGAACAGGCUCCACUGUGCUCUCGCUCCUUAUCCUCCUGGAAAAAGGUGCCAAGAAUUAGAAUUACAUUUUUCGAGAGCAGCAGAACAAGCCAAGGGCCUGUCAGCUUGUCCUAAAACAACCCCUCUCUGCUUGCUGAGCACGCAGCCAGCAUUCCUGACACACACCAGCGUCCAUCCCCCCGGCCCCCCCGGCAGCACGGGGCUGCAGAGCCAAAACACCCUCACUGUGCUCUGCCUAGAGCACAGCCAAGGAGAUUUUCUGUUUAAAAAGCAAGUUUAGGUCCAAAAAGAAAGGAGGUUCUCAGCAAGUGAUUUUAACUAGGCCCUUUGGCACUUGACAGUUCCUCUCCUGUUACGGAUGGUAAGGGUGUUGUUAGGAGAUGAAGCUCCACGAAGCACGAACGUGAAGUCACAGAGCUUUAGCAAGGGCUGUUGCCAUGUUCAAUAUGUUAUUACAGCUCCACCACCACAGGCACAAAGAGCAGCACCUCAUCUCUGCCAAAUCCAUCUCGAAAUCACUCCCCCACUCCAUCCCCUCCAGCAAACACCACUGAUCGCUGCUGCAUCUCCUCCACAGCUUCCACCCCAUGCUGGGAAGGAAGCAGAUCAGGUGAGAUGUCGCACUGCGCGAGCCUUGUAAUAUUGACUGAGUGGGACAGAAAAGUCCAAUUAUGUAAAUGAUGAAGCAGGUUCCCGAGAAGCAGUCAGCCUUAUCACACCAUCCUUCCCCACCGCUGUGGCUUGAAAGGCAAUUUAAAAGGUUGUUUGGGAUGUCGAUCACCACAAACGAGCUGAAGAAGUGUGAAACAACCUCUGCUUGAGGCACCAUCAGUUCUCCUGUUGCUUUUCCAGCUGCACUGAGCCUUUGCCUUGCUGUCUGUGGCUCGAGGACUACUGCAGGCAGCUCAGGGAAGGGUCAAAGGUUUUUAUAUCCUGCCUCUGGAAUAUUUCUGCAGCCCAUGAGGGCUUUUCCUGCCAUACUCGAGUCUCUCAGACCAUAAUUCGGUUCUCUGGCCACAGGAGCUUCAGCUGAGAAAUGGAACAAAAUCAGUUGUCUUGCA